UGCGUGGUUGGCGGGCGGCUCUUGCGCGGUGCCUUGGCGCGGCCCCGGUGCUGGUUCUGCCCAUGCUCGCGCAG
This 74-nucleotide transfer RNA is filed under the name Burkholderia lata. RNAcentral's name for it is "tRNA-Ala". The record is from RNAcentral. RNAcentral also lists the same sequence under 1 other name. Lineage: Bacteria; Pseudomonadati; Pseudomonadota; Betaproteobacteria; Burkholderiales; Burkholderiaceae.